Non-coding RNA from Vicia faba (fava bean), 414 nucleotides. Lineage: Eukaryota; Viridiplantae; Streptophyta; Magnoliopsida; Fabales; Fabaceae. The record is from the annotation of a GenBank genome assembly.
AUGACCCUCGACGUUGCCUUCGAUAAAACGAUCUUGUCCCUUACGAAAAUUGUUAAAACGUCUCAUAAGUUGCUUUCGAUGACUGUAAAAUCGACCCACGCCUGUCCCUUCACAUCCAACUAUGGGGCUUCUUACCAAAUUAAUAGUAAGAAAGCAACAUUAAAAGGAGGAAGAAAAGAAAAAUUGAAAACCUUUCAAGUAGAUAGAUUCGCUCCUAGUUUCUCGUUUGCUCACGACAAAAAAAAACAUUUUUACACCUACACUUUCAUCUCAAAAAUAUUUUCAAAAGACAAAAUGUAUUGUAUACGUUCUUAUAGAGACGAGAACCAUUACAAAGACAUUUUUUCAAAAUAUUUCCAAAGCUCACACCACAAGCACACUGUCAAAAUAAAAGCAAGUGAUCUAAACGAGUAA